RNAcentral lists this ribosomal RNA (274 nucleotides) under uncultured bacterium. RNAcentral's name for it is "partial 16S ribosomal RNA". It matches the Rfam family "Bacterial small subunit ribosomal RNA", at positions 523 to 796 of the family's 1533-position model. The record is from RNAcentral.
AUACAGAGGGUGCGAGCGUUAAUCGGAAUUACUGGGCGUAAAGCGUGCGCAGGCGGUUUUGUAAGACAGGCGUGAAAUCCCCGGGCUCAACCUGGGAAUGGCGCUUGUGACUGCAAGGCUAGAGUGCGUCAGAGGGGGGUAGAAUUCCACGUGUAGCAGUGAAAUGCGUAGAGAUGUGGAGGAAUACCGAUGGCGAAGGCAGCCCCCUGGGACGAGACUGACGCUCAUGCACGAAAGCGUGGGGAGCAAACAGGAGUAGAAACCCCAGUAGUCC